Molecule: long non-coding RNA, 586 nt
Filed under: Rattus norvegicus (Norway rat)
Lineage: Eukaryota; Metazoa; Chordata; Mammalia; Rodentia; Muridae
Description: long non-coding RNA NONRATT027115
Source: RNAcentral
CCAAUGUCUCAUCCUCAGACCUCACUGGGCGACAAGAGGUCUCCCGAAUUGCAGCCUCACAGACAAGCGUGCCAUUUGACCAUCUUGGGAAAUGAGGAGUGCGACCACAGACCAGUGUUUGCGUAGUGUCUUCACUGCAUUUUAUUUAAACAAAUUAAAAACAGAUAAGAGAGAGGACAGAGAGAACCGUUCAAACGAACGAAGGAAAAACAAACAAACCACAAAAACCACAACCCAGCACAAAGUCGACAAUGGAUUUUGUUUCUUUGAUUUAUUUUGCCAAUGGCAAAAAGACAAGACGUCCUUAGCACUGAGGAUGCUUGUCCCCUUGCCUUGCCCACUGCUCCCAACCUGAAGGCUGCCAACACUCCUCUGGUGACACUGGGUCACACUCCAGCCACCUGUUCUCACCACCGCCCACCACGUGCCGGGCCGCCAUCGGAGGUGCCUGAAGAGCUUGCAUCAGGGAGUGGUUUGGCCAGUCAAAGACAAGUCCUAGGAGAUUUCAUCGAGCCUUGGAUGACGCGCCAUCAGCCCUCAGAGCAAAACUUUUUAUUACUUUGUAAUUUAAAAAACUGAAAAAAAA